UACGGGGGGGGUAAGCGUUGUUCGGAAUUACUGGGCUUAAAGGGUGCGUAGGCGGCGCGACAAGUUGGGUGUGAAAUCCCUCGGCUCAACCGAGGAACUGCGCUCAAUACUGUCGUGCUCGAGGGAGACAGAGGUGAGCGGAACUUAGGGUGGAGCGGUGAAAUGCGUUGAUAUCCUAAGGAACACCGGUAGCGAAAGCGGCUCACUGGGUCUUUUCUGACGCUGAGGCACGAAAGCUAGGGUAGCGAACGGG
This 253-nucleotide ribosomal RNA is filed under the name uncultured bacterium. Its description in RNAcentral is "partial 16S ribosomal RNA". It matches the Rfam family "Bacterial small subunit ribosomal RNA", at positions 524 to 776 of the family's 1533-position model. The record is from RNAcentral.